Molecule: non-coding RNA, 52 nt
Filed under: Devosia chinhatensis
Lineage: Bacteria; Pseudomonadati; Pseudomonadota; Alphaproteobacteria; Hyphomicrobiales; Devosiaceae
Description: Xanthine-I sequence
Rfam family: Xanthine riboswitch aptamer (NMT1 RNA)
About the family: Later it was reported as a ncRNA that recognised Xanthine.
Source: Rfam by way of RNAcentral
CUUCGGAGUAGAAGCAGUCAGACGCCCCAGGCGUCCGGUCAUUGCUCCAGCA